GACGAACGCUGGCGGCGUGCUUAACACAUGCAAGUCGAACGGAAAGGCCUCUUUCGGGGGGUACUCGAGUGGCGAACGGGUGAGUAACACGUGAGUAACCUGCCCUUGACUUUGGGAUAACUUCAGGAAACUGGGGCUAAUACCGGAUAGGAGCUCCUGCUGCAUGGUGGGGGUUGGAAAGUUUCGGCGGUUGGGGAUGGACUCGCGGCUUAUCAGCUUGUUGGUGGGGUAGUGGCUUACCAAGGCUUUGACGGGUAGCCGGCUUGAGAGGGUGACCGGCCACAUUGGGACUGAGAUACGGCCCAGACUCCUACGGGAGGCAGCAGUGGGGAAUAUUGCACAAUGGGUGGAAGCCUGAUGCAGCAACGCCGUGUGCGGGAUGACGGCCUUCGGGUUGUAAACCGCUUUCGCUCAUGACGAAGCUUUGUGUGACGGUAGUGGGUAAAGAAGCACCGGCUAACUACGUG
This 467-nucleotide ribosomal RNA is filed under the name uncultured bacterium. Its description in RNAcentral is "partial 16S ribosomal RNA". It matches the Rfam family "Bacterial small subunit ribosomal RNA", at positions 28 to 507 of the family's 1533-position model. The record is from RNAcentral.